This 325-nucleotide long non-coding RNA is filed under the name Gossypium raimondii (Peruvian cotton). RNAcentral describes it as "long non-coding RNA (GRAI_LNC007548)". The record is from RNAcentral. Lineage: Eukaryota; Viridiplantae; Streptophyta; Magnoliopsida; Malvales; Malvaceae.
ACUUGAAAAAAUUGAAAAAAAAAUCUGAAUUUUGAGUUAAACGAAUCGAGUUAAUCGAGUUAUUCAAAUCAACUCAAAUUUCGAGUUCAAAUCCAGUUUAAUUUUCGAAUUCGAAUAACUCAAAUAAUUCAAAUAAACCGAAUAUCAAACUAUAAUAUUUUAUAUUUUUACCUCAAAAUCUCAAACCUUUUUACUUUGCCCCAAUACUUUUACACCCUCCCACUUUUCCCAAAAAACUUUUACUCCCCUCCCUUCUCACCCCCAUCUACCCUAAACCUAUCCCCCCCCCCAAUUUUUUUUAAAUAUUUUCCCCUCAUCUACUUUC